GUCUCGGUAGUGUAAAGGAUAAGAGCACGGUCUCCGGAAAGGACAAGUACGGGUUCGAGUCCCGUCCGAGACU
Non-coding RNA from Haemonchus contortus (barber pole worm), 73 nucleotides. Lineage: Eukaryota; Metazoa; Nematoda; Chromadorea; Rhabditida; Trichostrongylidae. The record is from Rfam.